GUUAAAUUUAGACAGUCCCUAUGAUUGUAGACGCUGAUAUAGCAAGGCAUUUGGACAGGGGUUCGACUCCCCUCGGCUCCAUUA
RNAcentral lists this transfer-messenger RNA (84 nucleotides) under Alkalibacterium sp. RNAcentral's name for it is "partial transfer-messenger RNA". It matches the Rfam family "transfer-messenger RNA", at positions 289 to 374 of the family's 374-position model. Rfam says of the family: Bacterial tmRNA, also known as 10Sa RNA or SsrA, is named for its dual tRNA and mRNA-like properties. Its role is to liberate the mRNA from a stalled ribosome. To accomplish this part of the tmRNA is used as a reading frame that ends in a translation stop signal. The record is from RNAcentral. Lineage: Bacteria; Bacillati; Bacillota; Bacilli; Lactobacillales; Carnobacteriaceae.